This is a long non-coding RNA of Cyprinus carpio (common carp), 1115 nucleotides long. The record is from Ensembl. NCBI's taxonomy places the organism in Eukaryota, Metazoa, Chordata, Actinopteri, Cypriniformes, Cyprinidae.
GAGGCAAUAAUAAACUAAAGUGAAUAAAAAUAGUGAUCAUGCAAUCAUUAUUAUGUUGAUUGCAUAAUUCAAUGUAAUUAAAUUAUUUCAAUUAAAUUUUGAAACAGUGUUUCCUUGAUUUAAGGCUGUGUGAAGUAGAAUUGUCUUCCAAAAUGGACAGUUGGAUAACAUAUUAUUUACAUUGAUAGACAGAUAAAUUGUCUCAAAAAAAUGAUACACUGUUGUGAGUAAAGCCCAAAAUAACAUAAUGGAAGAAAAACUAACACAAAAUAUUCUAAUUUAAAACAAAAACUUUUCAGUUAAUAAUCUUGCACCCCCUCAAAUGUAGGACAAUAUCAUUACAAUAGUCCCAUUAUUAUAAGGUCAAAUUCUUAAAUAAGUAUGGCAGAUCAAAUUUGGUUUAUUUGUUCUGUAAUCAUACAGUUGUAACAUUAGUUCAUGUGACUGGAUCUGAUAUCAAAUUCAUUAUAAUGUGGCUCAGAGAGGAGGGACUCAGUGUUCAUAUGAUCUUAGUUUCUGACAGAGACUGCGGUUGAAAGGAUUCAGUCUGACUCUUCUCAGAGUGAACACUUGUACAAUGGAUCUUCAUUCAGUCAUUCUAUUCUGUGCCUCAGCUGCUGUUGUCUUAGGGAAUGUCAUUAAACCAAACAAAACAUAUGUUUUUGUUGAGGAAGGUUCAAGUGUUACAUUAUCCUGUAAUUUUUCUGCAUCCGGAGGUUCAGAUUAUCUCCACUGGUACCGUCAGUAUGGAAGAUCAAAACCUGAAUUUCUUGUACUCACCCACAGCAAAGCAAAAGGAACUGAGGUGUCUAAGAUAGAUCCAAGAUUCUCUGUUAACAUUCCAAAAAGUGAACAUGUGGAUCUGAAGAUCUCCUCUGCUGCUGUAUCAGACUCUGCUCUGUACUACUGUGCUCUGGUGCCCACAGUGACAGGAAACACAUCAGCUCUCUACAAAAACUUGUUACAGUAAGAGACAAGAGAGAAACACAGAGACAGAGAUAAAGACAGAGAGAAAGAAGCUGUAAGUGUUUUAUACUGUGUAGUGUACUAUAUAAAGUAUUAUGUAUGUCAGAAAAAUAAUAGAACCAAUGAAAAUAAAUCACAGGUAGCUACCA